Long non-coding RNA from Cryptomeria japonica (Japanese cedar), 1817 nucleotides. RefSeq lists it as uncharacterized. NCBI's taxonomy places the organism in Eukaryota, Viridiplantae, Streptophyta, Pinopsida, Cupressales, Cupressaceae. The record is from RefSeq and is a predicted model, not a curated record. The transcript is spliced from 5 exons.
UCGCGACUAACACAACUCUUGACAGGAACCCGAUACUGGUGCUUCUCCAAGCUUUCAUAAUAGCAGCAACAAGGGUUCUGCGAUUGGGGCUUUGACUCGUAUUACUCUUAAUUCGUUUUCUCCAGUACCUUGAAAUGUUGUAAUCCAAAGCCCAUUCGGCAAGGACUCCUUCAACUAAAGGGUUAGUGACAACGGUCCUAUGAUUGGGGUCUUGACCGGAGGGAUCGCUAUGCUGGGUAUUAUUCUUGUUCUAUUACCCAGCAUAGAACAAGAAUAAUACCCAGCAUAGCGAUCCCCUAGUUAUGGUGCCAAUCAAACGGCCUUGCUGAAUGGGCUAUGGAUUACAACAUUUGGAUUGGAAUUCGACAAUAGCAGAUUGUCAGAGAGAAAACACAUUUUUUCAUAUGAGAGAACGCACCAAUAUUGAGGAGCCUGAAAGUGAGUAGAGAUUUGGAGGGUGUUGCAGAUUGUCAGCUCCUCUCGAACAUUACGAGGCAAUAAAAACCUAAUUUGCAUGGAAUGCAAGCUGCAGAUACAGGUGGUAGUUUUUUUGGACAGUGGCAAAGAGGGUGUUACGUGUUUUGCAUGUAGUUGUUUGGACGAUUGGUUAUCAGGUCAAUUGCAUUAAGGCGCAUUCAUUUGGGUCAUUUUCCCGGUACCAAAUUUUGUGCCUGCUGCAAGGAAGGGAGGCGGCUUAUAGAACAAGCAAUACACAGGAGGAAUUGCUACAUCUCUUCUAUUUUCAACUUUCAAAUCAUGGCUUGUUGCUGAACAUUUCAAGAGGGGUUUUGAUCCAUAAUGGCUGUCAUUGACAUUCUCAAAGGCAAUGUUGUUGGGCAAGGAUUUACUCACAUAGUUCAUGGGUGCUUCUUUUGGCCAUUGCUUCUGGGAUUAGAUGACAAAAUUGUACUUCUAGGAGCUAUACAAUCAUUAUUUGAAGGUUCAAUGUACACAUUUGUGUUUCUUUGGAAACCUGCUUUGAGUCCAAAUGAAUAGGAUAUUCCUCAUGGGUUCCUAUUUGCUAAAUUUAUGCUGGCUUCAAUGAUGGGAAGUUCACUGGCCUCUAGACUUUUGGCUCGCCCAGCACUCAAGGUGGAAAGCUACAUGCAGAUUGUCUUUGUUGUCUUUGUUGCAGCAUUACUCCAAGUAUACCCGAUACUAGAGUAUAUGCUCCUCCAAGCUUUCACAAUAGCAGCAGCAAGGGUCCUGCGAUUGGGGCCUUGACCGGAGGGGUUGCUAUGGUGGGUAUUACUCUUGAUUCUUUUUCUCCAGUACCAUGAAAUGUUGUAAUCCAUAGCCCACUCUGCAAGGACUACUUCAACUUAAGGGUUAGGGUUAGUGGUAAGGGUCCUGUGAUUGGGACUUAACUGAAGGUUUCGCUAUGGUGGGUAUUACUCUUGUUCUAAAAAUUUACCCAACAUAGCGGCCCCUCUAGCAAUGCGCUAAUCACAGGACCCUUGCCACUAACCCUUUAGUUGAAGGAGGCUAACUGAAUGGGCUUUGGAUUACAACAUUUCACAUCUGCACUUGGUCAUGGAACUGCCGCUCCAUCCACAUCUACACUUGCCAACCAAACUGCUGCUCCAUCCAGUACAUCUGCACUUGCCAACCAAUUCAGGUUUUGGGAAUAUCCUGCAUGAUAUUAAACGGAAAAAAUCAGGUUUGUUAGUUUUGAAAGGGAACUUGCUCAUAUUCUCUCUCAGUUGCAAGGAUGGAUUCAUGUCAAUUUUCUCUGUACAAAAGCAUUUAAUCAAACUUAAAAUCUGGCUUUCGUUAAACUUCAUGUCUACAAUUUGUAAUUUUUGAGAGUAAAAUAU